RNAcentral lists this ribosomal RNA (434 nucleotides) under uncultured bacterium. RNAcentral describes it as "partial 16S ribosomal RNA". It matches the Rfam family "Bacterial small subunit ribosomal RNA", at positions 29 to 507 of the family's 1533-position model. The record is from RNAcentral.
AGCGAACGCUGGCGGCAGGCCUAACACAUGCAAGUCGAACGAACCUUUCGGGGUUAGUGGCGGACGGGUGCGUAACACGUGGGAACGUGCCUUUAGGUUCGGAAUAACUCAGGGAAACUUGUGCUAAUACCGAAUGUGCCCUUCGGGGGAAAGAUUAAUCGCCUUUAGAGCGGCCCGCGUCUGAUUAGCUAGUUGGUUGAGGUAAUGGCUCACCAAGGCGACGAUCAGUAGCUGGUCUGAGAGGAUGAUCAGCCACAUUGGGACUGAGACACGGCCCAAACUCCUACGGGAAGCAGCAGUGGGGAAUCUUGCGCAAUGGGCGAAAGCCUGACGAAGCCAUGCCGCGUGAAUGAUGAAGGUCUUAGGAUUGUAAAAUUCUUUCACCGGGGACGAUAAUGACGGUACCCGGAGAAGAAGCCCCGGCUAACUUCGUG